GGAGGGUGCGAGCGUUGUUCGGAAUCACUGGGCGUAAAGGGCGUGUAGGCGGUCCGCUAAGUCUGAUGUGAAAGCCCGGGGCUCACCCCCGGAAGUGCAUUGGAAACUGGCGGACUCGAGUCCCGGAGAGGAGGGUGGAAUUCCUGGUGUAGCGGUGAAAUGCGUAGAUAUCAGGAGGAACACCGGUGGCGAAGGCGGCCCUCUGGACGGUGACUGACGCUGAGACGCGAAAGCGUGGGGAGCAAACAGGAUUAGAUACCCUGGUAGUCCACGCUGUAAACGAUGAGCACUAGGUGUCGUGGGUAUUGACCCCCGCGGUGCCGCCGCUAACGCAUUAAGUGCUCCGCCUGGGGACUACGGCCGCAAGGUUA
Molecule: ribosomal RNA, 371 nt
Filed under: uncultured bacterium
Lineage: Bacteria
Description: bacterial SSU rRNA
Rfam family: Bacterial small subunit ribosomal RNA
Source: RNAcentral